RNAcentral lists this ribosomal RNA (753 nucleotides) under Bacillus altitudinis. RNAcentral's name for it is "bacterial SSU rRNA". It matches the Rfam family "Bacterial small subunit ribosomal RNA", at positions 52 to 788 of the family's 1533-position model. The record is from RNAcentral. Lineage: Bacteria; Bacillati; Bacillota; Bacilli; Caryophanales; Bacillaceae.
UACAUGCAAGUCGAGCGGACAGAAGGGAGCUUGCUCCCGGAUGUUAGCGGCGGACGGGUGAGUAACACGUGGGUAACCUGCCUGUAAGACUGGGAUAACUCCGGGAAACCGGAGCUAAUACCGGAUAGUUCCUUGAACCGCAUGGUUCAAGGAUGAAAGACGGUUUCGGCUGUCACUUACAGAUGGACCCGCGGCGCAUUAGCUAGUUGGUGAGGUAACGGCUCACCAAGGCGACGAUGCGUAGCCGACCUGAGAGGGUGAUCGGCCACACUGGGACUGAGACACGGCCCAGACUCCUACGGGAGGCAGCAGUAGGGAAUCUUCCGCAAUGGACGAAAGUCUGACGGAGCAACGCCGCGUGAGUGAUGAAGGUUUUCGGAUCGUAAAGCUCUGUUGUUAGGGAAGAACAAGUGCAAGAGUAACUGCUUGCACCUUGACGGUACCUAACCAGAAAGCCACGGCUAACUACGUGCCAGCAGCCGCGGUAAUACGUAGGUGGCAAGCGUUGUCCGGAAUUAUUGGGCGUAAAGGGCUCGCAGGCGGUUUCUUAAGUCUGAUGUGAAAGCCCCCGGCUCAACCGGGGAGGGUCAUUGGAAACUGGGAAACUUGAGUGCAGAAGAGGAGAGUGGAAUUCCACGUGUAGCGGUGAAAUGCGUAGAGAUGUGGAGGAACACCAGUGGCGAAGGCGACUCUCUGGUCUGUAACUGACGCUGAGGAGCGAAAGCGUGGGGAGCGAACAGGAUUAGAUACCCU